Molecule: microRNA, 17 nt
Filed under: Corchorus olitorius
Lineage: Eukaryota; Viridiplantae; Streptophyta; Magnoliopsida; Malvales; Malvaceae
Description: hsa-miR-44
Source: RNAcentral
CAUGAUGGCUUCCUUUU